Molecule: ribosomal RNA, 440 nt
Filed under: uncultured bacterium
Lineage: Bacteria
Description: partial 16S ribosomal RNA
Rfam family: Bacterial small subunit ribosomal RNA
Source: RNAcentral
CCUACGGGUGGCUGCAGUGGGGAAUAUUGCACAAUGGGGGAAACCCUGAUGCAGCGACGCCGCGUGAAGGAAGAAGUAUUUCGGUAUGUAAACUUCUAUCAGCAGGGAAGAAAAUGACGGUACCUGACUAAGAAGCCCCGGCUAACUACGUGCCAGCAGCCGCGGUAAUACGUAGGGGGCAAGCGUUAUCCGGAUUUACUGGGUGUAAAGGGAGCGUAGGCGGUACGGCAAGCCUGAUGUGAAAGCCCGCGGCCCAACCGCGGGACUGCAUUGGGAACUACCGGGCUGGAGUGCCGGAGAGGUAGGCGGAAUUCCUGGUGUAGCGGUGAAAUGCGUAGAUAUUAGGAGGAACACCAGUGGCGAAGGCGGCCUACUGGACGGUGACUGACGCUGAGGCUCGAAAGCGUGGGGAGCAAACAGGAUUAGAUACCCGGGUAGUC